UCCAAGUUUUGGAAAUUAUGAAUAAAGCUGCCAUAACAUCUGUGUGCAGGUUUUUCUAUGGAUGUAAGUUUUUGACUCACUUAGGUAAAUGCCAAGGAAUACAUUUGUUGGAUCAUAUGGUAAGAGUAUGGUUGUUAUUUAAUGAACAGACCCCUAACCAAUUGUGUUAUAUCUUAUUUGGAGAAUGGUUAUAUGAACAGAAUGAGGUUAAUCAACUAAGGCCUGGUGAUAAUUCAUUGUAUGUGUCAACUUGACGGGGCCACAGGUGCCCAAAUAACUCGUCAGACAUUAUUCUGGAUGUUUCUGUGAGGGUGUUUCUGGGUGAGGUUAACAUUUAAAUUGGUGGGCUUCAGUAAAGCAGAUCACCCUCCCUGGUGUGGGUGGGCCUCGUCCGAUCAUAGAACAGGAAGGCUGAUCGCCCCCAGGUAAGAGGGACUUCAUCUCAGGGUCUCCUGUACCACUGGUGUGCACUGCAGAGUUUGGACUUACAGCCUCUGUAUUCACACGAGCCAAUCCUUAUAAUUACCUUCUGGUUCUGUUUUUCUAGAGAACUAUGACUAAUCCAGACCUCAUGAACUAAAAAGGGUCUUGGGCCAACACUAGGAAGAGAAUCUUGGCUAAGAGCAUCGGGCCAUCACAGUUAGGUACAGAGCAGCAAAUUAACCCAAAGGGAAAGAAAGCAGGAACAGAACUCCGGAACCUGAAGAAUGAAUCCGAGGCGCCUCUAACUUCACUUAAUGGACACACAAGGAAGAGGUAGUGUGAGCACCCCGUGAGAUGGUGGCCCCUACAAGAAAAGAAAAGAGUCCUCAGAAGGAAAUCUACCUUGUCAGCACCUUGGUGUGGGACUUCCCAGCCUCCAGAACUGUAAGAAAGAAAUGUCUAUUGUUUAAGUCCCCCAGUUCGUGGUACUGUGUUAUAGCAGCCCCCCGCUGACUAAUGCAUGGAGCCAUCUUCUUUCACUGCCUGUCGCCUAGUUUGCCAGGAUGCAGUGAUUUUUAUUAACACACACAAAUGCCUCCUGGAAUCAUGAUCCGUUGGGCUCUGAGAGGCGCAGGCAGCGUGGAAGUUCUCUCACCUCUUAUCACGUGUGGGGGGGGCGUUGACUCCAGCACGUGGGCCCCUUGCGCAAGCAUCGGAAUCACUGGGGUCGGUGAGGGGUUGGCCCACGAUGGGAUUGAGCCCGGGGCAACUUUGCUGCCGUAAUACAGGGCACCUGUGCAGAAACACCUGCGUCUGUUAGUUCCCAGGUUUACGUUUCUAUGGAAAUUGCCUACAAUUUCAGGAAUCUGUUUUAUGCAGCCCCUGGAGGCUGUCAGCUGAGGGUUUCUUCCUUAUUUUUAUUCCAGAAAGUAGAAUGGAAAUACAAGUUCAACUAGAAAAAGCACAAUAUAAAAUUUCUAAUAAUUAAUAUGGAAUUUCUUCAUGUAUUUUUUUAAAUGAGUGGUGGUGUACGUAUCAAAUUAGGUAUCCUAUUUC
Molecule: long non-coding RNA, 1479 nt
Organism: Lemur catta (Ring-tailed lemur)
Lineage: Eukaryota; Metazoa; Chordata; Mammalia; Primates; Lemuridae
Exons: 3
Source: RefSeq, a predicted model, not a curated record